Molecule: long non-coding RNA, 801 nt
Filed under: Bemisia tabaci
Lineage: Eukaryota; Metazoa; Arthropoda; Insecta; Hemiptera; Aleyrodidae
Description: lncRNA ENSSSA2NGG003874
Source: RNAcentral
AAGGUUUUCACUAAUUGAUCUUGACUCGAGGGAAACCUCAUCCUCCACGGAUUACAGUUUUCCAGCGCUGCAGAAUUUUAAUCAUCCAUUUGAGAUACGAAUCCCACCAAGUGCCUCUGUCUGCCCGCUACAGCAAGAUGAAGGCUAUGUUACACCAGAUUUGAUGGAUACGAACCUGCAAGUGAAUUUGAAGAGCCUGAUGAACCAAGGGCAGAGUCCUUUUCAGGUCACUCGUGGACUUCUCUAAUUGGCAUUGGCAGCAGCGAUAAACCGCUUCUAAGUAGUUACAAGGAUGAAGAGUCUAUUUCCAAGAUGAUGCAAUGGCUGGCACCCAGCAACAAAAAGCGCUGGUAUCAGAAUGACCCAACAGUUGUUAGUUUGCAGGAAUUAGUUGACAAUCUAAGAUACCUCCUAGUAGGGGUUCCAUCACGCCUGUUUCUACUCAAUCCAGAAACAAAUAAGUUUUCCAUCGCUGAGAAUAUCAAAUUACGUGGAACGUCUGAAGCAUUCUUAUCUGCGCUAGUCAAAGAUUUUUUGUCCUGUGGUAACACAGCACAUCACUUAGAUAACUUAGCAUCCAACCCUGACAGGAGACUUCAUGGUCUAGUUUACGAUACAUUGUGUGAAGCCCUGUCUGUCUACCUGCAGUCUGUUCGCUGUUCAGUCCUCCUUUUGGACCUAGCUACCACAUCGCUUGCCUCAAUCUCGCACACCACUGCACCACUCCGUUCCCAACUUCAAACAGUGAGCUGUGCUUGUCAUGGUCUGAGCAUACCUCAGCCCCCUCCGGUGGUCACCUAA